GGGCGGGGGACCCUUGAACACUACAAAGGAAACUGUAAAAGGCACAAAUACAUAAACCUGAGAAGCAGCAAACCACAGUUUCUUUGUGAGCUCCUCAGUGAGUCAUUUUCAAGAUGCUGUCUGCAGCCAGUUUCAAAGCGGAAGCGCACGGCAAUUAGUCUUGCCGUUUCCAGACAAGCCAGAAACUCUCCCGACACUCGUUUUUUUUUUUUUUUUUUUUUUUUUCCUUCUAAAAAGCCCCUUUUGCAGUUUCUGAAAUAGCCUUUCUUGCUUCCACCCCCACCCGCCGCGUAACUGCAGCUUAUCCUCGGAAUGAUUCGGUUCCGAAAACGUAACAGAGACCUUUAAAAAAAAUUUUAGCUCUCGCCCCCAAUUUAAUCCCCCCUCCUUCUUAAAAAAAACAAUAAAAUAAAAUAAAAUAAAAAAGUUCUAGUAACAGUACAGGCCAGCAGGCAGUUGGAAGUUAAAGAACUGAUAACUUCAAGAGCAUCCCUUGCCUGGCCCAUGUCCCAAAUCCGAAUCCGGACCAGCAGACUCGGUCGGCUUUUAAAUGUCCAAUUGACUGGGCGUGCGCCUGGGGCGGUGACCUGGGCGGGGGUCACCUGCCCAGAGAGUGGACACGCAGCCCGGUGCUCCACAUCUCCACUGCCCACGUCCUCCACCCCCUCUCCAUCCCUGUGCCCUCUCUGGAAUUGAGCACCCGCGCCUUGGUGCCCAUCCUGAAGGGAUCCCGACCGCAGCCCCAGCUUGAGGUUAUCUUCAGGGCCAUCAAGAGAACCGUGGGCCUCGGGAGAGAGUGUGUCAAUGUGUCAGGCAAGUCAUUUGUGAGUGGCGCACCACUGUCUUGGGGAAGAUGGCAGGAGUUAGAGACACAACGCCUAUACAGCUGCUUGGAAAGAAAGCUCAAGAAACCUGUACAGGUCUCACUAGAGAUUUAGCUUGGAGGAAGCUGAUCCCCCAGAACACAUUCAUCUUAUAAAACUGAAAAGCUAUAACCAUGAAGAACAACCUCACCCCCACCCUUACCCUGACUAAGCCUUUGGAAAGACUCAUUCUACUCCUUGCUCCUAUGAAUUCUUCAUGUAAGAUACUUCACGAAACAUUUGCCUACCACUGACUUAGCCAACAAAAUCAUGUAUCCUUUUUGAUUGUUCAAUUAAAGAACAAACGCUUUCUGUUUCAUCUUGGUUUGCUUUAGUUUUGCCUUUUGAAUUUUGUGACAGGGUCUGGUUACACAGCUCAGGCUUACCUCAGAUUACUGGUCCUCCAGCAUAUACCACCUUGCUGACAAUGGCUUGACUUUUAAACCACUUUCUUCCUUGUUCUGAAGAAGGCCUUUAUGUGUCAUGUCAGAUGAAAAUCUCAGCAUCCUUAACAACCUUCACGUCCAAUAAUUUCACCUUCAGAGUAAACUGAGCCUCAUUUAGUUAUUCUUACUUGGUCUUCUGAAGAGGUGAACAACCACUGGUUGUUCCAGUCACAGCCCUGAGAUGCUCCUUCAAGACUCAAUUCAAGUCUCUGAACAGACCUGAGCCUCAUUCCUGAUGGUUUCACAUCAUAGCUGCUUGCUCAGGGCCUCACCCCUGGGAGGCUGAUGUCAAACCCAGGAAUCUGUAUUUUUUCAAAGCUCCACCCAUACCACCUUUGUCCUUGAAAAGCACAUGUAAAUGCCUUGUCCAUCCCUUACUCACUUCACAUCUGGCCUCCUCCAAGCAGCCUUCCAAGAUCAACCAGAUAAACCACCUAGACCAUCUCUCCUUACCCAUAUACACUACUGUAUUUGAACUUGGUGGGGACC
Non-coding RNA from Cricetulus griseus (Chinese hamster), 1798 nucleotides. Lineage: Eukaryota; Metazoa; Chordata; Mammalia; Rodentia; Cricetidae. The record is from RefSeq and is a predicted model, not a curated record.